RNAcentral lists this ribosomal RNA (424 nucleotides) under uncultured bacterium. RNAcentral's name for it is "bacterial SSU rRNA". It matches the Rfam family "Bacterial small subunit ribosomal RNA", at positions 359 to 776 of the family's 1533-position model. The record is from RNAcentral.
GAAUUGUUCGCAAUGGGCGCAAGCCUGACGACGCAACGCCGCGUGGAGGAAGAAGGUCUUCGGCUUGUAAACUCCUGUUGCUCGGGAAGAAUGGCUCACACCUAACACGUAGGAGUAUGACGGUACCGGGUGAGGAAGCCCCGGCUAACGCUGGGCCCGCAGCCGCGGUAAUACAGAGGGGGCAAGCGUUGUUCGGAAUUACUGGGCGUAAAGGGCGCGUAGGCGGCCUGUUAAGUCGAACGUGAAAUCCCCGAGCUCAACUCGGGAACUGCGUCCGAUACUGGCAGGCUCGAAUCCGGGAGAGGGAUGUGGAAUUCCAGGUGUAGCGGUGAAAUGCGUAGAUAUCUGGAGGAACACCGGUGGCGAAGGCGGCAUCCUGGACCGGCAUUGACGCUGAGGCGCGAAAGCCAGGGGAGCAAACGGG